Molecule: long non-coding RNA, 174 nt
Organism: Xiphias gladius (swordfish)
Lineage: Eukaryota; Metazoa; Chordata; Actinopteri; Istiophoriformes; Xiphiidae
Exons: 3
Source: RefSeq, a predicted model, not a curated record
CACGUCUUGUUUUGUGAUUUGUUCACAGAGGAUGAGACAAAUGAGGGACAGGAGGCCUCCAUCACGGGGAUCGGUGACUCCGGCACCGACACAGAGGGUCCCUGAGAUCGCAGGUGCAGAGGCUCAGACCGUCGCCACGUCAGCGGCGCCGGCGAUCGUCACCGGCACCACCGU